ACUCAAAGGAAUUGACGGGGCUCCGCACAAGCAGUGGAUCAUGUGGUUUAAUAUGAUGCUACGCGUAGAACCUUACCAGGGCUUGACAUCCUGAUCGUACCCUAUGGAAACACUGGGGUCAGUUCGGCUGGAUCAGUGACAGAUGCUGCAUGGCCGUCGUCAGCUCGUGUCGUGAGAUGUUGGGUUAAGUCCCGCAACGAGCGCAACCCCUGUCGUAUGUUGUAUUUUUCAUGCGAGACUGCCCGGGCCAACCGGGAGGAAGGUGGGGAUGACGUCAGGUCGGCAUGGCUCUUACGUCCUGGGCUACACACGUGAUACAAUGGCCGGUACAACGGGUCGCGAAGUCGUGAGAUGGAGCUAAUCCUAUCAAAACCGGUCCCAGUUCGGAUUGCAGGCUGAAACUCGCCUGCAUGAAGUUGGAAUUGCUAGUAACCGUGGGUCAGCUACACCACGGUGAAUACGUUCCCGGAGCUUGUACACACCGCCCGU
Molecule: ribosomal RNA, 489 nt
Filed under: uncultured bacterium
Lineage: Bacteria
Description: partial 16S ribosomal RNA
Rfam family: Bacterial small subunit ribosomal RNA
Source: RNAcentral